CUGAAACAAUCAAUAACCGGGAAAAUUAAUGUCUUAUCUAAGUGAAUUGACAAUACAUGAUUCUUUAGUGUCAACCUAUUAGAAUGUCCCCCUUUUAUAUCUUAGUGUCACUCUAUUAGAAUGUCCCCCUUUCUUGUUUUUUCUGUCAACCUAUUAGAAUGUCCACGUUUCUAGCUUAUCUUAAGGUCAUCCUAAAAGAAUGUCCCCCUUUCUUGUUUUAGUGUCACCCUAUUAUAAUUUCCCCCUUUCUUGUUUUAGUGUUACCCUAUUAGAAUUUAAUUUCCAAAUUUCUUAUUUAAGCGUCACCCUAUUAGAAUGUCCCCCUUUCUUAUUUUUCUGUCAACCUAUUACAGUAGACUAUCCCCAAUUUUUAUGGUGGUGUCAAUUACCUUUAAAUUAUAUCCCAUGAAGCCCUUUGUGAAAGAGUUUUGAAAAAAUGAAAUCAUUUGACCUUCUUGUAUCCGUUAUUUGUAUCUUUGUUGCCAUAAACAAAGAUUUUUCCUGAAAAUGGCAUGUCUUAUUGCAUGCAGAUGAUUUUUUUCUAAUAAAAGCAAAUCAAAACUAGUAAGUAAGUAAGUAAUUAUUAAUUAUUAUUAU
This 597-nucleotide long non-coding RNA is filed under the name Mytilus galloprovincialis (Mediterranean mussel). Lineage: Eukaryota; Metazoa; Mollusca; Bivalvia; Mytilida; Mytilidae. The record is from RNAcentral.